GUGGGGAAUAUUGGACAAUGGGCGCAAGCCUGAUCCAGCCAUGCCGCGUGAGUGAUGAAGGCCUUUUGGUUGUAAAGCACUUUAAGCGAGGAGGAGGCUACCGAGAUUAAUACUCUUGGAUAGUGGACGUUACUCGCAGAAUAAGCACCGGCUAACUCUGUGCCAGCAGCCGCGGUAAUACAGAGGGUGCAAGCGUUAAUCGGAUUUACUGGGCGUAAAGCGCGCGUAGGUGGCCAAUUAAGUCAAAUGUGAAAUCCCCGAGCUUAACUUGGGAAUUGCAUUCGAUACUGGUUGGCUAGAGUAUGGGAGAGGAUGGUAGAAUUCCAGGUGUAGCGGUGAAAUGCGUAGAGAUCUGGAGGAAUACCGAUGGCGAAGGCAGCCAUCUGGCCUAAUACUGACACUGAGGUGCGAAAGCAUGGGGAGCAAACAGGAUUAGAAACCCGAGUAGUCC
RNAcentral lists this ribosomal RNA (451 nucleotides) under uncultured bacterium. RNAcentral describes it as "partial 16S ribosomal RNA". It matches the Rfam family "Bacterial small subunit ribosomal RNA", at positions 354 to 796 of the family's 1533-position model. The record is from RNAcentral.